RNAcentral lists this non-coding RNA (25 nucleotides) under Drosophila melanogaster (fruit fly). Lineage: Eukaryota; Metazoa; Arthropoda; Insecta; Diptera; Drosophilidae. The record is from RNAcentral. RNAcentral also lists the same sequence under 6 other names.
UGGUUAGCACUCUGGACUUUGAAUC